UACGUAGGGUGCAAGCGUUGUCCGGAAUUAUUGGGCGUAAAGAGCUCGUAGGCGGUUUGUCGCGUCUGCUGUGAAAACUCGGGGCUUAACUCCGGGCCUGCAGUGGGUACGGGCAGGCUAGAGUGCGGUAGGGGAGACUGGAAUUCCUGGUGUAGCGGUGAAAUGCGCAGAUAUCAGGAGGAACACCGGUGGCGAAGGCGGGUCUCUGGGCCGUAACUGACGCUGAGGAGCGAAAGCGUGGGGAGCGAACAGG
RNAcentral lists this ribosomal RNA (253 nucleotides) under uncultured bacterium. RNAcentral describes it as "partial 16S ribosomal RNA". It matches the Rfam family "Bacterial small subunit ribosomal RNA", at positions 524 to 776 of the family's 1533-position model. The record is from RNAcentral.